RNAcentral lists this ribosomal RNA (1523 nucleotides) under Bacteroidota bacterium. Its description in RNAcentral is "bacterial SSU rRNA". It matches the Rfam family "Bacterial small subunit ribosomal RNA". Lineage: Bacteria; Pseudomonadati; Bacteroidota. The record is from RNAcentral.
ACAAUGGAGAGUUUGAUCCUGGCUCAGGAUUAACGCUAGCGGCAGGCCUAAUACAUGCAAGUCGAACGGGAUUUCGGGUAGCAAUAUCUGAAUGAGAGUGGCGCACGGGUGCGUAACGCGUAUGCAAUCUACCUUUAACUGGGGAAUAGCCCUCCGAAAGGAGGAUUAACACCGCAUAAUACUAUGAUGGGGCAUCUCAAUGUAGUCAAAACUCAGGUGGUUAAAGAUGAGCAUGCGUCCGAUUAGCUAGUUGGUGAGGUAAUGGCUCACCAAGGCGACGAUCGGUAGGGGGUCUGAGAGGAUGAUCCCCCACACUGGUACUGAGACACGGACCAGACUCCUACGGGAGGCAGCAGUAAGGAAUAUUGGACAAUGGGCGCAAGCCUGAUCCAGCUAUGCCGCGUGAAGGAUGACGGCCCUAUGGGUUGUAAACUUCUUUUAGCAGGGAAAAAACCCCCCGAUGCGUUGGGGGCUGAUGGUACCUGCAGAAUAAGGAUCGGCUAACUCCGUGCCAGCAGCCGCGGUAAUACGGAGGAUCCAAGCGUUAUCCGGAUUUAUUGGGUUUAAAGGGUGCGUAGGCGGAUAAAUAAGUCAGUGGUGAAAGCCUGCAGCUUAACUGUAGAAUUGCCAUUGAUACUGUUUAUCUUGAAUGUAGUUGAGGUGGGCGGAAUAUGACAUGUAGUGGUGAAAUACUUAGAUAUGUCAUAGAACACCGAUUGCGAAGGCAGCUCACUAAGCUAUAAUUGACGCUGAGGCACGAAAGCGUGGGGAGCAAACAGGAUUAGAUACCCUGGUAGUCCACGCCCUAAACUAUGAUCACUCGCUGUUGGCGAUACACAGUCAGCGGCUAAGCAAAAGCAUUAAGUGAUCCACCUGGGGAGUACGGCCGCAAGGCUGAAACUCAAAGGAAUUGACGGGGGCCCGCACAAGCGGAGGAGCAUGUGGUUUAAUUCGAUGAUACGCGAGGAACCUUACCUGGGCUUGAAAGUUAGUGAAUCUCGCAGAAACGCGAGAGACCGAAAGGACACGAAACUAGGUGCUGCAUGGCUGUCGUCAGCUCGUGCCGUGAGGUGUUGGGUUAAGUCCCGCAACGAGCGCAACCCCUAUCAUUAGUUGCCAUCAGGUUAUGCUGGGGACUCUAAUGAGACUGCCUGCGCAAGCAGUGAGGAAGGUGGGGACGACGUCAAGUCAUCACGGCCCUUACGUCCAGGGCUACACACGUGCUACAAUGGAUGAGACAACGGGCUGCUACACAGUAAUGUGAUGCUAAUCUCUAAACUCAUUCUCAGUUCGGAUUGAGGUCUGCAACUCGACCUCAUGAAGCUGGAUUCGCUAGUAAUCGCGUAUCAGCAAUGACGCGGUGAAUACGUUCCCGGGCCUUGUACACACCGCCCGUCAAGCCAUGGGAGUUGGGGGUACCUGAAGUCGAUAACCGUAAGGAGUCGCCUAGGGUAAAACCGAUGACUAGGGCUAAGUCGUAACAAGGUAGCCGUACCGGAAGGUGCGGCUGGAAUACCUCCUUU